GGGUUAUAAUAAAUAAAACCUAAAGGCGUAAUUAACUUAACUAAUAUAUUUAUUUUAUAAAUAUAUAUGGGAUUAUUAUAUAUUUAAUAUUUAAUUAUUAAUAUAUAAUCCAUCCCGGGGCGUUCUAUAUAGUUAUGCAUUUUAUAUAUUUUAUAUAUUUAUGCCUCUAACUAGAGCGUACCUUUAGCAUAUAUGCUGUGACCCGAAAGAUGGUGAACUAUACUUGAUCAGGUUGAAGUCAGGGGAAACUCUGAUGGAAGACCGAAACAGUUCUGACGUGCAAAUCGAUUGUCAGAAUUGAGUAUAGGGGCGAAAGACCAAUCGAACCAUCUAGUAGCUGGUUCCUUCCGAAGUUUCCCUCAGGAUAGCUGGUGCAUUUAAUAAUUAUAUUAUAUAAUCUUAUCUGGUAAAGCGAAUGAUUAGAGGCCUUAGGGCCGAAACGACCUUAACCUAUUCUCAAACUUUAAAUGGGUAAGAACAUUACCUUUCUUGAAAUGAAGGUCGAUGUUGUGAUAUAUUGUGCCCAGUGGGCCAAUUUUGGUAAGCAGAACUGGCGCUGUGGGAUGAACCAAACAUAAUGUUACGGUGCCUAAAUUAACAACUCAUACUGAUACCAUGAAAGGCGUUGCUUGCUUAAAACAGCAGGACGGUGGACAUGGAAGUCGUAAUCCGCUAAGGAGUGUGUAACAACUCACCUGCCGAAGCAACUAGCCCUUAAAAUGGAUGGCGCUCAAGUUGUAUACCUAUACAUUAUCGCUAAAGCAUAUGAUAUAUUUUUUUAUUUAUUAUUAAUAUAUUUUGAAGCUUUAGUGAGUAGGAAGGUACAAUGGUGUGCGUAGAAGUGUUUGGCGUAAGCCUGCAUGGAGCCGCCAUUGGAACAGAUCUUGGUGGUAGUAGCAAAUAAUCGAAUGAGACCUUGGAGGGCUGAAGUGGAGAAGGGUUUCGUGUGAACAGUGGUUGAUCACGAGUUAGUCGGUCCUAAGUUCAAAGCGAAAGCUUAUAAAUAUAAAGUUAUUAUAAAAUAUAAAAUAUAUUUUUAUAUUAUGAACGAAAGGGAAUACGGUUCCAAUUCCGUAACCUGUUGAGUAUACGUUUUUAAUAAAAGUGGGCUAUUUAUUGCUCAUCCUGGUAACAGAAACAACCAUAAAGAAGCCGUCGAGAGAUAUCGAAAGAGUUUUCUUUUCUGUUUCAUAAUCGUAUUACCAUGGAAGUCUUUAGAAGAGAGAUAUGGUAAAUGGAUUAGAAGAGCAUGGCAUUUACUGCUGUGUCGAUAUUUUCUCCUCGGACCUUGAAAAUUUAUGGUGGGGUCACGCAAAUUUCUUAACAGGCCGUACCGAUAUCCGCAGCUGUCCCCAAGGGAAA
RNAcentral lists this ribosomal RNA (1362 nucleotides) under Scenopinus fenestralis. Its description in RNAcentral is "eukaryotic LSU rRNA". It matches the Rfam family "Eukaryotic large subunit ribosomal RNA", at positions 696 to 1876 of the family's 3401-position model. Lineage: Eukaryota; Metazoa; Arthropoda; Insecta; Diptera; Scenopinidae. The record is from RNAcentral.